CGCUGUGACGUUGGAAUAUGAAUUAAGAUGUCCAGUUGCAGGAGAAUGGCGUCUCAGACCAAGGAAGUUAUUAUGCGGUGCAACACAAUACGUAUGUUUGUUAUAUUUACCAGAUAAAACAUACCAUGAGACCUGCGACGGACUAGAUAUUAGCAGCUCAGGCAGCAAACUUGUGUUUCAACCAAAUUUCAACAAGGCGAGAUGCAACUAAAAUCGAUAUCAACCUUUUACAUUCUCAACUGACGGUAGCAGUGCUUGCGUGUAUAAAAAGUCAUUCUGUAAUGCAGAGGGUCAAUUCCCUUUCAAUAAAGGAAGUUUUGAAAAUGACACAAGAUGUGGAUGCAACGUCUCGAAAGGGUACACAUUUGUAACAAAGCCAAGAAACAAGUGCUACUGCCUACCUUUAGAAGAAGACUGUUCCUGUUAUAAACCUACUUGUAAUAACAAAGGUAAUGAUUGUACUUCGAAUGAAGCCGUUAUAAUGAAUGCCACAUGCUCAGUGUUACCGGAAAAUAAUAAAUCAAUAUCAUCGGUGGAUGAAAAAAUACACAAAAGAAAACAAAGUUUGGAUUACGAUGGCGAAAGAAGAG
Mytilus trossulus (common blue mussel) is the source of this 590-nucleotide long non-coding RNA. RefSeq lists it as uncharacterized. Lineage: Eukaryota; Metazoa; Mollusca; Bivalvia; Mytilida; Mytilidae. The transcript is spliced from 4 exons. The record is from RefSeq and is a predicted model, not a curated record.